AUUGAACGCUGGCGGCAUGCCUUACACAUGCAAGUCGAACGGCAGCACGGGAGCUUGCUCCUGGUGGCGAGUGGCGAACGGGUGAGUAAUGCAUCGGAACGUGCCCUGAAGUGGGGGAUAACGUAGCGAAAGUUACGCUAAUACCGCAUAUUCUGUGAGCAGGAAAGCAGGGGAUCUUCGGACCUUGCGCUUUUUGGAGCGGCCGAUGUCGGAUUAGCUAGUUGGUGGGGUAAAGGCCCACCAAGGCGACGAUCCGUAGCGGGUCUGAGAGGAUGAUCCGCCACACUGGAACUGAGACACGGUCCAGACUCCUACGGGAGGCAGCAGUGGGGGAAUUUUGGGACAACGGGCGCAAGCCUGAUCCAGCCAUGCCGCGUGAGUGAAGAAGGCCUGUGUACG
This 399-nucleotide ribosomal RNA is filed under the name uncultured bacterium. RNAcentral describes it as "bacterial SSU rRNA". It matches the Rfam family "Bacterial small subunit ribosomal RNA", at positions 30 to 421 of the family's 1533-position model. The record is from RNAcentral.